CUACGGGGUGCACCAGUGAGGAAUAUUGCACAAUGGGGGGAACCCUGAUGCAGCAACGCCGCGUGGAGGAUGACGCAUUUCGGUGUGUAAACUCCUUUUAUAUGUCAAGAAAAUGACGGUAGCAUAUGAAUAAGCACCGGCUAACUCCGUGCCAGCAGCCGCGGUAAUACGGAGGGUGCAAGCGUUACUCGGAAUCACUGGGCGUAAAGGACGCGUAGGCGGGUUGGAAAGUCAGGUGUGAAAUCCUACAGCUUAACUGUAGAACUGCACUUGAAACUUGUAAUCUAGAGUGUGGGAGGGGGAGAUGGAAUUAGUGGUGUAGGGGUAAAAUCCGUAGAUAUCACUAGGAAUACCUAAAGCGAAGGCGAUCUCCUGGAACAUUACUGACGCUAAGGCGUGAAAGCGUGGGGAGCAAACAGGAUUAGAUACCCCCGUAGUC
This 439-nucleotide ribosomal RNA is filed under the name uncultured bacterium. RNAcentral's name for it is "partial 16S ribosomal RNA". It matches the Rfam family "Bacterial small subunit ribosomal RNA", at positions 339 to 795 of the family's 1533-position model. The record is from RNAcentral.